AAUUCAAAAAGUCAAUGAUGGUAUAUUUAAAUGCCUCGGGAUGUAGUGUUCGAGACAAAUCGGUGCAAGCAGCCGUAUGGUUACAUUGUAUGGGGAAGGAAACCGUCGAGUUACUGGAAACAUUAGAAAUAACAGACGUAAUUAUGAGUAUUUUAUUCCGAAGACCAAUGUGAGUGUAGAAAGACAUAAGUUUAAUUCAAGAAUGCAGCUUAGUAGGGAAACAUUCGAUAUGUUUUUGAGUGAAUUGCGGAAAAUCGCUGCCAAUUGUAAUUUUGGAAACCUAAAGGAUAAACUGAUUCGAGACCGAAUUGUUUGCGCAGUUAAUGAUAAAAGAGUAAAGGACAGACUUCUCAGGGAAAGUGAUUUAACUCUGAAGAAAGCAAUCGACAUUUGUCAAGCAGCAGAGCUGACAAAUUCAAAUAUAUCGGAAUUGCUACAUAAAAAUCAAAUUGGGGAUGUGGCCGCUAUCAACAAGAAGUCAACUUCAGAUUUUGAAGCACGUGGACAUAAACAGUGGAGAGACGGCAGCGGUGUCAGCAAUUGGAAUCGUGGGAACAAGAAAUGUACGGCCACCAGUUCGACACCUGCAUAUCAACAUUCGUACUAUUCACAGAAUUCUUGAAGGACGACAGACGUUAAAACAAAGGAGGAAAAAAACACAUCUGGCCUGUAUGGAAGAAACAACAAUGGGGUUCGAGGAAAUAGUUGCAGUCGUUGUGGUUUCAAGAAAUAUGACAGCGUCUGGCCCACAACACAAUAAACGAAUGGAAAAUACUUGCGAAUAACACCGAUAACAACGAUGCGACGACUAUAAUUUAUUGUCAAUGUCAGGUUGACACACAUUCGUCACACUUGAUGGUGUUGUCGAAGUGCACAUGUAAAUUAAUGUUCAAGGAUACCCUUACGUGCCAAUUUCAAGUUGUGAGAUACGACCGGUGCAAAUUAUGGUCGCAGCGCAACGUUGCGCGGGUGAUUAGCGCCCACUCUGCGACCGCGAGAUAAGACCAGUUUCAAGUCCAAAAACUGCUAUGUCGCAACGUGGUAGCAAACUGGUGCUGUGAUCAAAAUUUUGUGCGGAUCACUUUCGAAACAUCAAAUUUUUAAUUUGUGAUUUGCGUUUCUUCGUUCAAAUUCCAAACUGACACGGAAAAUCAAGCAACGAUUAGAAAAGGCCGGCGGGCGAAAAAUUUCACUUCCACAGAGGUCAAAAUUUUAAUAGGGGAAGUGGAAAACCGCCGAAAUAUUUUGUUUGGCCCAUUGAAAGGGCCAUCAUUAACGCAGUACCAUCGCGACAGGGCCUGGGAUCAGGUCCUGUCCCAUGUAAAUUCGGUGGCCACCUACGUCCGGUCUGUGGGAGAAUUAAAAAAAAUUUAAACACCUCAAGUCAAGUACCAAAUCGAGGGCUAAUACCCUACUUAGGGAAUCGAGAAAAACGGGUGGGGGCGAAAAUGAUGCGCCUCCCCUCAAUACAUUUGAGGAAAAAAUGCUUGCGUUUGUGGGAAAGGAAAGCGUUGAGGGAAUACGCGGAGGUAUCGACACCUUUACUUUCUGUAAAGUAAGGUAAAGUAUACGAACAAGAAAAACGCUAUAGUUUGACAUAUUUAUUAAUGCAUUUUUCAUUUUCAGACAAAUAUAGCUUUUCACAACUUACAAUUUUGUUUACAUGUAAUAAUCCGUAUUCACUCAAAUUACAGAGUCCCAUGAUCCAAUUCCGUCACGUCCUGUUACGCCGCCGCCACGUACUCUUUCCCCGCCGCAACAUCCUCUAACCCCGUCUCCACUACAUAUUACUCCGCCGCCACGGCAUCUUACCCCGCCGCCACGACAUCUAACCCCGCCGCCACCACUGCCUGCGCAGACUCCAGCCCUCCAAGUGCAAAAAAAAAUUCAAAGAAAUCUGCACUAGAUGAAAUAAAAAAACUUCUGCGUUGCAAGCAGAAAAAAAUGUACUUCUGGGGCAGCUGGUGGCGGAAAUACGAGAAUCUAGGAAGGAAAUUAAUAUGCUAGAAAAUUUAAAGAAAAGAGAGCUAGAGAUUAGAGAGGAAGAGUUGGCCAUUAAGAAAAAAAAAAUAAAAUGAACUUUUUUAACCAAAAAUUUUGUAGUUCAAGUUACUUCUAAAUUUUUUGUUUAUUUUAACUAUAACUGUUUGAACCACGUUUAAAGAUAUAAGUAUUUAAAAAAGAAAAACAUUUUUUAGUUUGAACAGACCAAUUUUAAAGUGGUUAUCAAGUGUAAAUCAAGUUUAAAUGUUAUCAAGUGUAAAUAGUUGCCAAUUUUGUUAUUUCAAUUAAAUAUGGAAAUACCUGGUGGGACCACGGAGAGGAUGGCAAGUUUCCACCGGGAUAGGAAAGGAACAAGGUUUGAAUUAAUUGGGAGGUCAUUAUCCCAAACACAAAUGUCCAAAGUCAUUUUCAAAAUUCGUUUCAAAAUUAUAAUCGGUACAAUGAUAACAAGAGGCCUCUAAAUAAUUACAAUACGAAUAAUUUCCAAACAAGAAAUAACUGUCCGCUUUCUACACCAAAAAAUAAAUUUGGGAGUUACAACAAUUCGUACUCCAAAGUAAAUUAUCAAAAGAAUGAACUGCAAAAUUUUGUCCCCGUCACCCGAACCGCGAACGGAAGACCGAGAUGUUAUCAUUGUAACAAAAUUGGUCAUUACGCAAGUGCCUGCUGGUCCAAACAACCACAAAACCCAAAAGAUUUGGGACGCCGCAAUUACAUCUUUGCGUCGUCCUAACUACGAAAGGGGUACACAAAUCCAAUAAUAACACGCAAAUAUUAACAUUAACAUUAUAUUAUAUUAUAUUAUUUUAUAUUAUUUUAUAUUAAUAUUAUAUUAAAUAUAAUUUUUUUAUAUUAUAUUAUAUUAUAUUAUGUAAUUAUUUUAUAUAGGUAUUAUAUGUAUUAUAUUUUCAACCAUUAAUACUUUAUAGACCCGAUAGUAACAGAGA
Molecule: long non-coding RNA, 2951 nt
Organism: Tribolium castaneum (red flour beetle)
Lineage: Eukaryota; Metazoa; Arthropoda; Insecta; Coleoptera; Tenebrionidae
Exons: 3
Source: RefSeq, a predicted model, not a curated record